RNAcentral lists this ribosomal RNA (118 nucleotides) under Helianthus annuus (common sunflower). The record is from RNAcentral. Lineage: Eukaryota; Viridiplantae; Streptophyta; Magnoliopsida; Asterales; Asteraceae.
GGUUGCGAUCAUACCAGCACUAAUGCACCGGACCCCAUCAGAACUCCGCAGUUAAGCGUGCUUGGGCGAGAGUAGUACUAGGAUGGGUGUCCCCUGGGAAGUCCUCGUGUUGCAACCC